This 77-nucleotide small nucleolar RNA is filed under the name Plasmodiophora brassicae. Its description in RNAcentral is "Small nucleolar RNA SNORD24". It matches the Rfam family "Small nucleolar RNA SNORD24". Rfam says of the family: U24 is a member of the C/D class of snoRNA which contain the C (UGAUGA) and D (CUGA) box motifs. C/D box snoRNAs have been shown to act as methylation guides for a number of RNA targets. The record is from Rfam by way of RNAcentral. Lineage: Eukaryota; Endomyxa; Phytomyxea; Plasmodiophorida; Plasmodiophoridae.
UGCUUCUGAUGUUACACCAUAUUUGCUACUCUUGACUGUUGUGUGAUGAUUCUCUAUCCACCAAGAUCUCUGAAGCG